This 1784-nucleotide long non-coding RNA is filed under the name Salvia miltiorrhiza (redroot sage). RNAcentral describes it as "long non-coding RNA (SMIL_LNC001554)". The record is from RNAcentral. Lineage: Eukaryota; Viridiplantae; Streptophyta; Magnoliopsida; Lamiales; Lamiaceae.
UGACUUGACAGAGAACUUCCCAUCAAAUGCAUACUCCGGAGCCAUGUAGCCACUGUAAUGAGCUCUGAUGCAUUAUUCUCUAUGAGAAGAGUAUGUAUACAUAACUGCUUUGUGUGUGUGUGACACUUACUAUGUCCCAGCAACUCGUUUUGUUCUCGCUGUAGACUGAUCGCCUUCAAACAUUCUAGCUAGACCGAAAUCUGAGAUCUUCGCAUUCAGAUUCUCAUCUAAUAAGAUAUUGCUUGCUUUUAGGUCCCUGUGGAUGAUUUUCACUCUGGAAUCAUUAUGGAGGUAAACCAUACCCCUUGCAAUCCCCAUGAUAAUAUCGAAGCGCUUUGGCCAAGUCAAUAGUGGCCUUCUUUCUUGAUCUGCAUGUGUUGAAGAGUAUUACUAAGGUAAAAAUAAAACUGUAAUCUCUUGGAUAGAGUAGAAACUGUAGAAAGAUUUUCUCGAAAUUAUUAUCCAAACCAAAAAUGAAAUAGUCCAAGCUUUUGUUCUGCAUGUAUUCAUAGAUCAACAUCUUUUCCUCCCCUUCAAUGCAGCAUCCCAGGAUUUUGACCAGGUUCCUGUGCUGGAGUUUCGCGAUCAAAAUGAAUUCAUUUCUGAACUCUUCGGGGCCUUGUCCAGAACUCCUCGACAUUCUUUUCACCGCAAUUACUUGCUCUGCUGAUAGAAUUCCCUGCAGUGGCCAAAUCAAAAUCAAACUCAAACAGUAUAUAUUAUUGCUACUAUAAGUAAAUAUUGAUUUAUAAGCAUCACUUAACAUAAUGUUUUUACCUUGUAAACAGGACCAAAACCGCCUUCUCCAAUCAUAUUCUCUGUUGAGAAGUUAUUCGUGGCUGUUGCGAUGGUUCCCAAAUCAAAUAAAGGUAACUCUAAUCCACCCCUUACCUUCUUAGAAGCUGUGAAAGCAGUUAGUUAUACAUUUGUUCAAGUGUCUAUAAUAUUUGCUUGCAACAUAUAUCUUUACUGUGUAAACACAAUCAGUAAUUUGACCUUGUCUCCUGUGUCUUAUCUGUAGAAAAAAGCCUCCAAUAGCAAAGCCCAAUAUAAGCAUUCCAAACCCAGAAGCAGCAGCACCUAUAAGCUUCAACUCUCUCUUUGCUUGCCCUGUCCUCUUCCUAUUCGAAUCUGUCGCAUGUUCUAAGACGAAAUAUCAAGUAUUAGUAAUAAGGUUUGAUAAAAUACAAUCUCAGCUAAUCUCCUUAGCUCAUUAUAGAAUGCACUGAAGUAUUCAUCAUACCAAGUUCUGUAACAGGCACGCGAAUAUAAACAGUCGGUACUGCUCCAGAUUCUGUGCUCAGCUCCCUUAAGUCAAUCAAGUCCCCAAACCACAUCAAACAGUUUCUUUCAUAAUCUGAGUAAGGAUCAUCAGCAUAAGCCGUGCAGUUACAUUCGCUUAGGCAUUUUCUGCGACAUUCAACAGAGCUCAUAUUAGCAUUCAACUGAAAAUUCAGUGAAUCAGGGAACUUGAUUCCUUCCAUCUUCAGAAAGUCAUCUCCCUUUUGGCAAUCUAAUGGUGGAUCUCUAUAACAUCCAUUUCUCCACUCAUACAUCCUCCAUUCCUUUUCAGAUCUCGGCUUGAAUCCCCUUAGACACUCACAUACUGGCAUUUUGUUAAUCUUGCAGAUGCCAUAAUGACCACACCUGCCAUAACUGUUACACAAAUCGUCUGUAGAGGCUAUCAUGAGAUUCCAGUGGUCUUUUUGGUCGUUCAUGAUGUAUCCCUCGAGCACGCCUGAGUAGUUCAUUGUUACCCUUAUGAUUGCUGAAUCACUGAAAGG